This 492-nucleotide ribosomal RNA is filed under the name uncultured bacterium. RNAcentral describes it as "partial 16S ribosomal RNA". It matches the Rfam family "Bacterial small subunit ribosomal RNA", at positions 29 to 507 of the family's 1533-position model. The record is from RNAcentral.
AGUGAACGCUGGCGGUAGGCCUAACACAUGCAAGUCGAACGGCAGCACAGUAAGAGCUUGCUCUUACGGGUGGCGAGUGGCGGACUGGUGAGGAAUACAUCGGAAUCUACUUUUUCGUGGGGGAUAACGUAGGGAAACUUACGCUAAUACCGCAUACGACCUACGGGUGAAAGCAGGGGAUUUUCGGACCUUGCGCGAUUGAAUGAGCCGAUGUCGGAUUAGCUAGUUGGCGGGGUAAAGGCCCACCAAGGCGACGAUCCGUAGCUGGUCUGAGAGGAUGAUCAGCCACACUGGAACUGAGACACGGUCCAGACUCCUACGGGAGGCAGCAGUGGGGAAUAUUGGACAAUGGGCGAAAGCCUGAUCCAGCCAUACCGCGUGCGUGAAGAAGGCCUUCGGGUUGUAAAGUGCUUUUGUUGGGAAAGAAAAGCAGCAGGUUAAUACCCCGCUGUUCUGACGGUACCCAAAGAAUAAGCACCGGCUAACUUCGUG